UACGUAGGGUGCGAGCGUUAAUCGGAGUUACUGGGCGUAAAGCGUGCGCAGGCGGUUUUGUAAGCCGGAUGUGAAAUCCCCGGGCUUAACCUGGGAAUGGCAUUCGGGACUGCAAGGCUGGAGUGCGGCAGAGGAGACUGGAAUUCCUGGUGUAGCAGUGAAAUGCGUAGAUAUCAGGAGGAACACCGAUGGCGAAGGCAGGUCUCUGGGCUGACACUGACGCUCAUGCACGAAAGCGUGGGGAGCAAACAGG
RNAcentral lists this ribosomal RNA (253 nucleotides) under uncultured bacterium. RNAcentral's name for it is "partial 16S ribosomal RNA". It matches the Rfam family "Bacterial small subunit ribosomal RNA", at positions 524 to 776 of the family's 1533-position model. The record is from RNAcentral.